This 133-nucleotide small nucleolar RNA is filed under the name Haliotis rubra (blacklip abalone). The record is from RNAcentral. Lineage: Eukaryota; Metazoa; Mollusca; Gastropoda; Lepetellida; Haliotidae.
AAUGGCUCAUAUUGAAGCCUCUUGUGUGUUUCUGCAUGCCUGGGGUCAUAAUGAAGCCUAAAUAAAGAUCUAUCAGACGGUCGCUGGCUGCAUGUGCACUUGCUUCUGGCAUCACCAAAUGGUAGAUACAUGA